CGCGAAUGGCUCAUUACAACAGCUAACAAAUCUACUUGAUCUUGACACAAUCCUACUUGGAUAACUGUGGUAAUUCUAGAGCUAAUACAUGCAUUAAAGCUCUGACCUCACGGGAAGAGUGCAUUUAUUAGAACAAAACCAAGCGGCUUCGGCUGUUUCUGGUUGACUCAUAGUAACUGAGCUGAUCGCAUGGUCUUGCACCGGCGACGUGUCUUUCAAGUAUCUGCCGUAUCAACUUUCGAUGGUAGUGUAUCUGACUACCAUGGUGAUCACGCGUAACGGAGAAUAAGGGUUCGGCUCCGGAGAGUUCGCCUGAGAAAUCGCGAACACAUCUAAGGAAGGCAGCAGGCGCGAAAAUUACCCACUCUCAGCACGAGGAGGUAGUGACGAAAAAUAACGAGACCGCUCUCUUAUGAGGCCGGUCAUCGGAAUGGGUACAAUUUAAACCCUUUAACGAGUAUCUAUGAGAGGGCAAGUCUGGUGCCAGCAGCCGCGGUAAUUCCAGCU
RNAcentral lists this ribosomal RNA (507 nucleotides) under Cervidellus vexilliger. RNAcentral describes it as "SSU rRNA". It matches the Rfam family "Eukaryotic small subunit ribosomal RNA", at positions 88 to 590 of the family's 1831-position model. Lineage: Eukaryota; Metazoa; Nematoda; Chromadorea; Rhabditida; Cephalobidae. The record is from RNAcentral.